RNAcentral lists this small RNA (162 nucleotides) under Lonchura striata (white-rumped munia). RNAcentral describes it as "domestica (Bengalese finch) TUC338 (ENSLSDG00000005526.1)". Lineage: Eukaryota; Metazoa; Chordata; Aves; Passeriformes; Estrildidae. The record is from RNAcentral.
UUGCUAUCCUGGAGAAUUAAGUCCUCCAUUUAUCGACAGAACACGUGCAGCUUUGGCACGGGGGGUGUAAAUCCCCCACUGUUUCCUGUCAAUGCUCUCUGCCUGGCUUGGGAGAAGCACAUCUAGAGAGGAUUGCUCAGACUGUGCAGACACCCUGACUCU